This 460-nucleotide ribosomal RNA is filed under the name uncultured bacterium. RNAcentral describes it as "partial 16S ribosomal RNA". It matches the Rfam family "Bacterial small subunit ribosomal RNA", at positions 338 to 795 of the family's 1533-position model. The record is from RNAcentral.
CCUACGGGAGGCAGCAGUGAGGAAUAUUGGUCAAUGGGCGUAAGCCUGAACCAGCCAAGCCGCGUGAGGGAUGAAGGUUCUAUGGAUCGUAAACCUCUUUUAUAAGGGAAUAAAGUGUGGGACGUGUCCUAUUUUGUAUGUACCUUCUGAUUAAGGAUCGGCUAACUCCGUGCCAGCAGCCGCGGUAAUACGGAGGAUCCGAGCGUUAUCCGGAUUUAUUGGGUUUAAGGGGUGCGUAGGCGGCCUUUUAAGUCAGGGGUGAAAGUCUGUGGUUCAACCAGAGAAUUGCCGUUGAAACUGGGGGGCUUGAGUACGUUUGAGGCAGGCGGAAUGUGUGGUGUAGCGGUGAAAUGCUUAGAUAUCACGCAGAACACCGAUUGCGAAGGCAACCUGCGAAGCCAUGACUGACGCUGAUGCACGAAAGCGUGGGGAUCAAACAGGAUUAGAUACCCCAGUAGUC